RNAcentral lists this ribosomal RNA (253 nucleotides) under uncultured bacterium. RNAcentral's name for it is "partial 16S ribosomal RNA". It matches the Rfam family "Bacterial small subunit ribosomal RNA", at positions 524 to 776 of the family's 1533-position model. The record is from RNAcentral.
UACGUAGGGUCCAAGCGUUGUCCGGAAUUAUUGGGCGUAAAGAGCUCGUAGGCGGUUUGUCACGUCGGCUGUGAAAACCCGAGGCUUAACCUCGGGCCUGCAGUCGAUACGGGCUGACUAGAGUGUGGCAGGGGAGACUGGAAUUCCUGGUGUAGCGGUGAAAUGCGCAGAUAUCAGGAGGAACACCGGUGGCGAAGGCGGGUCUCUGGGCCAUAACUGACGCUGAGGAGCGAAAGCGUGGGUAGCGAACAGG